AGAUAUAACCACACCACCUUGAAUGUGCCAGGUCUCAUCUGAUCCCAGAAGCUAGAGUUGGCCCUGGUUAAUACUUAUAUGGGAGACUACCCCAGAAUACUAGGCACUGUAGGCU
RNAcentral lists this ribosomal RNA (115 nucleotides) under Phascolarctos cinereus (koala). Lineage: Eukaryota; Metazoa; Chordata; Mammalia; Diprotodontia; Phascolarctidae. The record is from RNAcentral.